CCAAUAGCGUAUAUUAAAGUUGUUGCAGUUAAAAAGCUCGUAGUUGAAUUUCGGGAUCAAUGGGUUGGUCAUGCCCUCGGUAUGUACUGAUUUCAUUGGUUCUCACCUUCUAAGGAACCAUGAUGUCAUUUAUUUGAUGUUGUGGGAAAUUAGGACUGUUACCUUGAAAAAAUUAGAGUGUUUAAAGCAGGCUAACGCUUGAUUACAUUAGCAUGGAAUAAUGAAAUAGGACAUCCGAUUCUAUUUUGUUGGUUUCUAGGAUCGAUGUAAUGAUUAAUAGGGAUAGUUGGGGGCAUUAGUAUUCAAUUGUCAGAGGUGAAAUUCUUGGAUUUAUUGAAGACUAACUACUGCGAAAGCAUUUGCCAAGGAUGUUUUCAUUAAUCAAGAACGAAAGUUAGGGGAUCGAAGACGAUCAGAUACCGUCGUAGUCUUAACCAUAAACUAUGCCGACUAGGGAUCGGAUGAUGCUUAUUUUUUAAUGACUCAUUCGGCACCUUAC
Molecule: ribosomal RNA, 499 nt
Filed under: uncultured Glomeromycotina
Lineage: Eukaryota; Fungi; Glomeromycota
Description: partial small subunit ribosomal RNA
Rfam family: Eukaryotic small subunit ribosomal RNA
Source: RNAcentral